Molecule: ribosomal RNA, 710 nt
Filed under: Plantago rugelii
Lineage: Eukaryota; Viridiplantae; Streptophyta; Magnoliopsida; Lamiales; Plantaginaceae
Description: eukaryotic LSU rRNA
Rfam family: Bacterial large subunit ribosomal RNA
Source: RNAcentral
CUAACGGCGUACCUUUUGCAUGAUGGGUCAGCGAGUCAAUAGAGUGAGCAGCUUAAAGCGUUAGUUGUAGGCCCUUAGUCAUAGUUGUCUUUCUAUGUUCUUCCUAUUGUACCCGAAACUGGUCGAGCUAGCCAUGAGCAGGUUGAUGAGAGAAUACACUCUGCUUUAAGGACCGAACCCACGCAUGUGGCAAAAUGCGGGGAUGACUUGUGGCUAGGAGUGAAAGGCCAACCAAGACCGGAUCUAGCUGGUUUUCCGCGAAAUCUAUUGAAGUAGAGCGUAUAAUGGAUCUGUCCCGAGGUAGAGCACUCAAUGACCUUAAUUAGGCUGUCUCUGCCUGAACUAUGUCAAAGAAACUUCGAAUACGGUCCUAUCUUAUUGUACAGACAGACUUUAGGGUGCUAAGAUCCAAAGUCGAGAGGGAAACAGCCCAGAUCGUAGGCUAAGGUCCCAAAGCAAUCACUUAGUGUAUAAGGAAGUGAUCCAGUACCGACAACCAGCAGGUGGGCUUGGAAGCAGCCAUCCUUCUAUAGAGAGCGUAAUAGCUCACUGGUCUAGCUAGAUCGUACCAAAAAUGUAUCGGGGCUCAAGUGAUUCACCGAAGCAACGAGAGUGAUUCAGUAGCGGAACGUUCUGUACAUCAUAGAAGGGUUUUGAUGACAAGACCUUGAGAUAUCAGAAGUGAGAAUGCUGACAUGAGUAACGAAAAA